This 303-nucleotide long non-coding RNA is filed under the name Capsicum annuum. RNAcentral's name for it is "long non-coding RNA (CANN_LNC007572)". The record is from RNAcentral. Lineage: Eukaryota; Viridiplantae; Streptophyta; Magnoliopsida; Solanales; Solanaceae.
ACUGGGCAGGAGGGAUUUAGACGGAGAAGGGAUGAUGAUCGUAAAACAAGAUAGAAUUAUUUAAAGAAAAAAUAAAGGUCUCAACUUUACCAAAAGUUUGACAUUUUUGAAACUUUGUUCUUGUCUGAUUAAAAUCGAAUAACAAUUAUGCAGCCACAUAUUACUGACUUUACAUAUUUAAGACGAUGCACGUGAAAUUACAAACAUUCAUGAACUCAAAUGAGACCAAAUUCAAUCCCUCAUAAUGGCAACUUCGAUGGUAAUCGAGUCAAAAUACUUCACCCGUCAACAUUUAAACCAUAA